AUUACAGGCAUGAGCCACUACACCCAGCCAAAUUCUCCAUUCUUUUACAUUUAGGUUAUUUCUGAUUUUUUUUGCUAGUAUAAAUAAUGCUGACAAACAUCGUUUUGAUAAAUCUGUGUAUGCAUCCCUGGGUUUUUUUUAGAAUUAAUUUUUAGAACUAGAAUAACUAGGUCAAAGACAAGUACAUGUGUAUUUUUAAUGCUUUUGGUAGGUUUUUCUAGGCCUUAUAAUAACACUUAUCAGAAUAAAAUAAUUGUGUAUUUACCUGUUUUUAUCUCACUUGUCUAUAAGUUCUUUCAGAACAAGGACUUGCUCGUGUUUGUAUUUAUAGCAUUUGGGAUAGUGCCUAGCAUAUUACAAAUGUCAAUAAAUGUUGAAUAAAUGAAUGGAAAGAAAUAUUGGUAAGGUGGUUCACGGCAAUUGAAGUUUAGCCAUAAGCUAAUAUAGAUCCUAUGUAAAGCAGUAUUUUCCAAGAUAUGUUCCGUGUCAUUCAUUCAUUCAGCAAAUAUUAAUCAGCCUCAGAUAUUGUCUUGUACCUCAACAAUGAUUGCUGAUCCUUACAGUGCUUGCAAAUCUAGUGAGAAAAGCUAAAUGCAUUAAAUAAUAAGAAGAAACGAUUAUAGUUUACGAUAAACAUGUAGGAAAUAAACAGGAUACUGCCAUAGAACUGCGCAAACUUUAGCCUGUAUCAGAAUCACCUGAAGGGCUCGCUAAUACACAUGGAUUUGCCACACCCCAGAGUUUCUGAUUCAGCAGGUCUAGGGUGGGGCCUGAGAACUUGCAUUCCUAACAAGUUCCCAGAUGUUCCUGAUGCUGUUGGUUUCAGGACCACAUUUUGAAAACUACUGUGAUAGGGAGUAACAUCGAGAAGGGCAAGGGAGAAGGCUGUGCUUUAGGUGGUUACAAAAGCUUUGCCUGGCCUGUAAUCCCAGCACUUUGGGAGGCUGUGGCAGGCAGAUUGCUUGAGGCCAGGAGUUCAAGACCAGCCUGGCCAACAUGGCAAAACCCUGCCUCUACUAAAAAUACAAAAAUUAGCCAGGCAUGGUGGCACAUACCUGCUUUCCCACCUACUUGGGAGGCUGAGGCAGGAGAAUCACUUGAACCUGAGAAGCAGAGGUUAAAGUGAGCAAUUCAGCCUCAGCCUCAGUGAGAGGCAGAGUGAGAGACUGUCUCAAAAAAAAAAAAAAGUAACAACAAAUCUUUGCCUGACGAUAAGAUAGUUAAGCUGACACCUGAAGGAUUAAGAGCUGUAAAAAGUCUCAGAAACACUAGGCAGAUGCGACAGCAAAUCUCCAGGAACAGGAAAGAGCUGGGAGGAGGCCAGUGAGACUUGCAGUUAAUGAGGAAGAAAAUAAUAGUCAAAGUUGGAGAUGUGGGCCCAAUGUCAGAUGGUGUGGGCCCAGCGUCAGAUGGUAUGGGACCUUAUAGAUCAUGGGAAGAAGUUUGGAUUUUACCUUAAUGCAGUGGAAAGCCAGUUUAUAUUCUAAAGAGAUCACUCUGUGUUAAGAGGAAAAAGGAUGCAAAAUAAGCAGGAGGUGAAUGGAGAGACCAGAUUUGGAGGCCAUGACAGUGGACAGUGAGAGAUGAGGUUGGUCUGAGCUGGGGAGUGACAGUGGAGAUAGUGAGAAGAGGAGGGAAUAAAACUGUUAACCAUUUCACCCCCAGGAAUUUCUUGGGAAGCAUUGGCUACAACAAAAUUACAACCAGUUCUUAGGACUUGCAUGGUGGCUCUUUGGGACUUUGGGAGUCCAGGGCAGAUGGAUUGUUUGAGUUCAGGAGUUCAAGACCAGCCUGGGCAACAUAGCGAAACACUGUCUCUACAAAAAAUAAAAAAAUUAGCUGGGUAUGGUGGCAUGCACCUGUAGUCCCAGCUACUCGGGAGGCUGGGGUGGGAGGAUUGCUUGAGCCUGGGAGGUGGAGACUGUAGUGAGCUGUGAGUGUGCCACUGCACUCCAACCUGGGUGACGGAGUAAGACCCUGUUUCAAAAAAAAAAAAGAAAACCAAUUGUUAACUGCUAGAGUUUUCAGAUCCUUUCAAAUGACAAUGCUUAUUGUGAAUCUCUAAUAAGAUAUUUUUCCCCAGAGGACCUCAGGUAAUUGUUUUAAAAAAUAUAUGGCUCUGGAAAAAGCUAUAGAGACAGUCAAAAGAUCAGCAGUUGCCAGGGUUUGGGGAGAGGGAGGAGUGAAUAGGUUAGGCACAGAUCAUUUUUAGGGUGGUGGAACUACUGUAUAUGAUUCUAUAGUGGUAGAUACGUGUCAUGCUACAUUUGUCCAAACCCUGGAAUGUGCAAUGCGAAGAGUGAACCCUAAUGUAAACUAUGGACUUUGGGUGAUAAUGAUGUGUCAACAGAGGUUCAUCGAUUGCAACAAAUGAACCACUGUGGUGGAGGUUGUUGAUAAUGGGGAGGCUGUGCAUGUGUGGAAGCAGGGAGUGUAUGGGAAAUCUCUAUAGCUUGUACUCAAUUUUUCUGUGAACUUAAAACUGCUCUAAAAAAGUCUACUAAAUAUAUAUAUAUAGGUGUGUGUGUGUGUGUGUAUGUAUGUGUGUAUUGGAGUCAUAAUUUAAACAUCAGCCAUUUCAAAGCUUCUUGCCUUGUGUUGGCUUCAGCAGCAUGGGAACUUGUUAGAAACACUUCCUACUGAAAGAUUCACUCUAUACCACGGAAGAACCAGCUGCAGAGUCAGUGACAGUCUUAGGAAUAUGGUACCAGGAGCAUUUCUGACCAUGGACUGCUAACCCCAGGCAAAACAUCUUUUUUAAACCUAAAAAUACUGGAAUAAAUUUUUGUGGGAAGAAUGGAAUUUGAUUCUUUAUCAUCAGCAAAAUACAUCAAAGACUACUAAGUAUGUGGUACAGUAACUUUUCAUGAGCUGUUAAAGUUAGCAAAGACAUCUUUCUGCAUUUAAGCUAGGAGCACAUUACAGAAAGUAUAAUGAGGGCUUUUCAAGAGAUGCCAUUGGCUCCUUUUUCCUCAAAUAAUUAUUAAUGAUUUAAUGAUACUUAUUUUCCUUUAAAAGAACAUGUUUAGGUAUCACCAUCUUAAUUCUUUAAUCACCAGAUGAUAAUAAAUGGAGAGUCUAAAAAGUUCUGUCCAAAACAACCAGUCUAAACACUUUCCCAAAGUGACUAUUUUCCGGGCUUGAAAGUUACCAGCAUGAGAAAUCGUGAUCCAGUGAAGGCAUACGUGUGUCAGGGUGACUUAAUUAAAGUCUCUCUGAUGGCUGUUUGAGAAAACUAAUGGGUUUCUUUGUCUAAAUCCAAAAGCUCCUAUGAUAUUAAGUUUACCCCAAUCACUUCCUGUGGUGUGAAAUAUGCAUUAACUAUCUUCUCUACAAAUCUGAUGAGAAAACCAAGUUCUAAAUGUAAUGUGUGUCAUGUUGGAAGAAUCUGGAUAAAAGUAUUUGAGCCAGUGUAGUAGAUGUUAAGAAACAAAGCAUGGUCUUGAUUAUUUCACAUUGCGCACAGUUUAACUAUUUAUAAUUUAGAGUGGCAAUUUAGAUGUUACCAAUAAUAAGUCAGAUGCUAACACAAAGGGUUUUGGCCACUUCUCAUAAUAUGUGGUUUAUGUUGCUCCUUCCAUGUUCUGGGCACUGUUCUUCAAAUGCAGGCUUAACUUUGAGGCUCAGAGGAAUAAGGAAAAAGAGAUAGAUUUUCCUUAUUUCUCAUAUGUUGUUAAAGCCCUUAUGAAACUUUCUUACCAGAAUGGUAAUGACUCUGAAAAUUACCCUAGUACAAGGUGUGAAAACACACACUGCCUAGACGUGGAUUUCCUGUGCUCAGUCUAGCUAAGGGAUGUGAAAGCAUUCAGAUAUCAUAUGAAAACUACAUCUUAUAAUGUAUGAAUGUGAAAUAUAGUUAUUAUUUACAUCUGUGUUUCCAAGCAACCUUUUAAAAUUUGAUAUCACAUUUUCUAUAGCAUAUAAGAAAUCUUCACUGAUUUGGAACUUAAAAAAGAAGAUACAUUUGUCAUAAAAUAGUAUGUAUGACACACUUUUAACAAAAUCUACUUAUUCUUCUGAAACCUCUAUGUGUUUUCUACCAAGAGUUUAAUUAUUGGCCUUAUUAACUCUUUUUAUACCUGAGGAUAAUUAAAUUCUUAAUUGUACUGCAAUGACAUAUGAUUCAAGUAGCUUAAUAUUUUGGCAAUAACUAGGAAGAUCCACUAGGAUGGUUUAGAUGGGGCAGAGUACGUGUGCGUGUGCGUGUGUGUGUGCGUGUAUCUCUCUCUCUCUCUCUCUCUCUCUCUCGGGAUAGAGAUGUUCCAUAAAGAGACAUCUCUUGGCUAGCAAGAUCACCUCUUGAGAUUAGAAGGACUUAAAUUAUCUUAACUGUAGCAGCCACCAAAAGGCCUGGGACCUGUGACAUUCCCACUGAGGUUGCCUAUGACUGAAUGGAGAUGUAUAAUGGAGAGUAAUGAACUCACUCUUGCAGGUGCAGCAGAAGUAGACAAGUAUGUGAUCAAGGGAUAAGGACUCUGGGGAAAUGGAGCAUGAGAGCUGAGAGAUGCCUGCUUAAAACAUUUUAUCCAUUAGGGGAAUGAUUCUGGGUCCAAAAGUUAUGUUUGGUUGUAUAAUUACUGACUUGAGCCAUCCAGAAGAGGCAAUAGACUUGUGUAUUUGCUUGAGUUGGAAAGGAAUGAAGAAAUAGCGCCCUAAAUACUCCUGCGAAAUAAUAACUUUCAUUCCACCCUAAAGCCAAAGUGAUAUAUCCAAAUGUAAAUCUGUUCCUACUUAAAAAUCUUCAGUGGCUCCUGGCUUCUCAGGGUAAAUUCCUUCAAAAGUGGGCCCACAAGGCUUUUGUCAUCUGGUGCCUGCCCACCCCCCUCCAGACUCAGGUCCCUACAGCCCACAGCUGGAGUGCCCCUUCCACUUUCCGUCAUGGGGCUGGCUCCAUGAAGUCCUUCAGACUCAAACCAGCUUCCAUCUUCUCUGUGUUGAGCUGGUUGCCCCUCUCUGUGUGUUCUGCCACCUGUACGUUUCUCUUUUCUGUGAAAUUCCUUUUAAUAAUUAUAUUAAAAUUGUUGCCAGGAUCAGUGGCUCACACCUGUAAUCCCAGCACUUUGGGAGGCCAAGGCAAGAAGAUAGUUUGAGGGCAGAAGUUCAAGACUAGCCUGUGCAAUAUAGUGAGACCCCCCUCUACAAAAAAUAAAAUAUAAAAAUUAGCCAGGCAUGGUAGCACAUGCCUGUAGUCCCACCUACUUGGGAGGCUGAGACAGUAGGAUCACUUGAGUCCAUAAAGUCAAAGUUGCAGUGAGCCAUGAUAGCACCAGUGCAUUCCAGCCUGAGAGACAGAGCAAGACCUUUGGAAAGAAGGGUCCUUGUCUUAACUCAUUUUUGGGUCCCAGUCCUUAACAUAGCAGGUGGCACAUGACAGGUGCUUGGUAAGCAUUCUUUUAACAGAACUGUGGGAAACCUAAAUUGCUGUAGCUUUUAUUUCUGUGGCUAAUAAAUUAUUUUCACUGCAUUUGGUCUUGCUUACCUCCUUAUGAGCAGCAGAAAAGCAGUUGUAAUAAGCUACCAUUUAUUGAGCACCAGCCAAGAGUCAGUUCGUGUGUUGGGUAUGUCACAUGCAUUAAUGCUUACUGAAUUGCCAAAAGAGUCAUACCACUCUUGGGUAAGAUUAUCAUCAUCAUCAUCCUUUCCAAACAAGAAACCAGAGGCUCAGAGAGGUUGAGAAACAUACCGGAAGAUCCUCAACCAGCAUUUGAACCAGCUGCGUUAUUUCUAUCCUAUACGCUAGGAAGCUGUCCCUUGGUGGGUUCCCGUUUAUCAAAUAGCACAUUUCCCUGUCUGUGCCCUGGAGCUAUUUCCAUUUCCUCCUUCAUGUUUGCUUACUAGACCCUGAGCAGGUCGUGGAGCAAAAGCACUUUGGAUGCCAGUGACAAGGGUGUGAUUCCAGAGUUGAAGGCUGAUGUUUUAACUGUGCGUUCAGUUCAGGUUGUUAUUGAUUUCUCUCCUCUCCACUUUGUUAUGGCCAAGUGCUCCAGGCAGAAAUCUAGCAAAACAGGCUCACAGAGCUGCUCUUGGAGCCAGGCGGGUCACAGGUCACUCCACUGAUGUGCGGGGCACAUUAGCCAAAUGACAGAGGCUCAACUAGAGAACUCAAAGUGACCGUAGUCAGAUGUUGGUGAUAUUCCACACAUGUUCCUUAUUACCUACCAGCCUGAAGCAGGGCAGACCUGGACUUGGUCUGGUUUGCUUCCAGGACAAUGAUGCUAGUCGCCCAGGCCUUCUAUGAAUCCACAGCCUCUUGACCACAACAAUUACACUGCAUUAUAAUUACUUGUCUAGGUGCCUGUCUUCAUUCCUAUGAGUUUCUUAAGCAUGAUGGUUGGGUGCCGUGCAUCCCUAUUUAUUUAUUCAAGUCACAACUGUUAAGCACAGACUGUACUUCAAGUUCUGUGCCUGACUCUGGAUAUAUGGAGAUGAAUAGAAUGGAUUAGACCAGAAAUCUGUUCCCAAAGAGUAUGUAGAUAUGUAAGAAAUAACUACUAAAAACUGUUGUGAGAAUGCUUAGAUAUUUUUCAUCUCUAUUACCCAAAAUCUUAGCACAGCACCUUGAAUAGAAAGAGUAGUGAACAGAACUGAGUGCUGACUGUAUGCCUGGAACUGUGUUAUGUGUUUUAUAUUCACUAUCUCAUUUAAUCCUCAUAACUGCCUUCUGUGCAGCUUUCGGUACUAUUUUCUUCUCCAUUUAAUAGAUGGGGAAACUGAUGCCUUCAGAGAAUGCUGAAGUGAGUGAAUUCAAGUGUAGUCUUCCCAUUGAGUCCACGUUGUUCAUAACUGCUUAUUGUUGCUUCCUAAAAUCUAUGAAAGAUUAUUCUAUAUUCUGCAGUAAACUGUUCUUUUGUUUUAGCCAAUAUCAGUAACUUUUUUCUUUAACAUUUUGUCCAUUAAAGGAAUUCUACCAGUCCCAAGAGCAUGUUGUAUGAAAUCAUAUCAUUCCAUUAUGUUUGAGUGGCCAUUUGGAGUCAGAGCUGUUUAAGAAAUACUGUCAGGCUAAGAUGCUAAGAUGUCUUCAGGCUGGAAGGUUUAGGUCCCAAGACAGAUUGGAAAUGUAGUGCUUGUCAGCUCCUCCUACAGCCCUUCUCUGCCAUCAUUCCCACAUACACUCUGCAGAGAGCUCAAUGCGGUUUGCUAUCUGACAAACAUCCUAGAUUAGUGAGUCCCAUCUUUUUUUAUCCCUCAUCAAGCCAGGGAAACAUUACUAAAUUAUCACACAUUAAACAUGUUACACACCAGGCACCAUGCUAGGUGUUUUACAAACAUCUCCUCAUACUGUAAUUAUUAUUUUCCAUCUUAUUGAUCAGAAAACUGAGGUUAAAAAAGAAAUGAGACAUGGCCAAAAUUUCAGCUCAGGCAAUCUGACUACAAAAUCCAGACAGUUACAACCCUCAAAUAUUUUCUUUUUUUUUUUUAAAUUUUAUUAUUACUAUACUUUAAGUUUUAGGGUACAUGUGCACAACGUGCAGGUUUGUUACAUAUGUAUACAUGUGCCAUGUUGGUGUGCUGCACCCCCCACUUCCCACACCCCACAACAGUCCCCAGUGUGUGAUGUUCCCCUUCCUGUGUCCAUGUGUUCUCAUUGUUCAAUUCCCACCUAUGAGUGAAAACUUGUGGUGUUUGGAUUUUUGUCCUUGUGAUAGUUUGCUGAGAAUGAUGGUUUCCAGCUUCAUCCAUGUCCCUACAAAGGACAUGAACUCAUCAUUUUUUAUGGCUGCAUAGUAUUCCAUGGUGUAUAUGUGCCACAUUUUCUUAAUCCAGUCUAUCGUUGUUGGACAUUUGGGUUGGUUCCAAGUCUUUGCUGUUGUGAGCAGUGCCGCAAUAAACAUACAUGUGCAUGUGUCUUUAUAGCAGCAUGAUUUAUAAUCCUUUGGGUAUAUAUCCAGUAAUGGGAUGGCUGGGUCAAAUGGUAUUUCUAGUUCUAGAUCCCUGAGGAAUCGCCACACUGACUUCCACAAUGGUUGACCUAGUUUACAGUCCCACCAACAGUGCAAAAGUGUUCCUAUUUCUCCACAACCUCUCCAGCACCUGUUGUUUCCUGACUUUUUAAUGAUCGCUAUUCUAACUGGUGUGAGAUGGUAUCUCAUUGUGGUUUUGAUUUGCAUUUCUCUGAUGGCCAGUGAUGAUGAGCAUUUUUUCAUGUGUUUUUUGGCUGCAUAAAUGUCUUCUUUGAGAACUGUCUGUUCAUAUCCUUUGCCCACUUUUUGAUGGGACAACCCUCAAAUAUUUUCUUCAAUACCCCUGGUAAACUUCAACAGCAAUUUUUCAACUAUGCGAGUCAAGGGUGGGUGAGAGUGAAGUUUGAAAAAGCACCCCUCCCCUCAGCCAGGUAUUUCCAAUGCAUCCCUCACCCACAAAAUCACAGCAGAGCAUGCAGACCAUACUAAUAAUUCCAGGUGCACCUUAACUUCUGAGGUCUCUUCUGACUUGCAGCUCCUCAGUCUCUUCCUCCUUUAAAUCUAGAGCAUAUUUGCUUUAAAUUGUUUAGUUUGAUAAUUCAUCACAUACAGUCUUAUCACCUCACAUCUUCCACUUGGGUAUCUUGCCUGUCUUUUCCAGCAAGAGUAUGAGUUGCUGGAGAGCAGAGAGUUCAUUUCAUCCCAUAAUAGCACAUGGUGGCCACAAAGACACUUAAUAAAUGCUGCUUGUUUGCUUAAAUAGAGGCAGUAUAGUUUGCUGAACUCUGGAGGCAGACAAGCUUAAUUUUCUACUUACUAGCUAUGCAGUGAAAAUUAUAAAAAUUCCAUAUACUUCAGUUCCUUCAUCUGCAAAAUAGAGAUUAAAGCAAUACCUUAUAGGGUUGCCAGGAAUAUUAAGAGGGUACAUAUAAAGCACUUGGCAUAGUUCCUAACACAUAAUAUGCACUCAAUAAAUAGUAAUUAUUGAUGUUAUUACACAACAGCUGAAUUUAUUCGUGUUUACUGUGUGUUACAUGCUGUGCUAAAUGCUUUGUAUGCAAUUAUCAUUUAAUUUUUACAUAAUAUAGGAAGCAGAUUUAGCUUCUAAACAAACACACCUUUCUUGUUACCCAAAAGUUAUUUAAGAUUAUCAGAUGCUCUCACUGUCUUCAGAGUUGUGUCAUAGGAUGGGAAGGCACAAAUAUGAUAUUGUAAUACACUAUUGGCACAUCAUAUAACUGUAAGACAUCACAAUAACUACUAACAACAACUAAAGCACUGGAGUUGACAAAUGUUUUGCUCUUUUAUAUAAAUUAAUAUAGAUUCAAAAUAAUUAUGAUACCAGCACUUCCUGUUCUUAUACCCUCCGUCACAAAUGAAAAAAAAAAAAAGGGAAGAAAUGGAUUUGCCAGUCAGACCCACCCAUAUGGACACUUCAUUAAUAUAUGUUAUUAUGAAGAAUAGGGUGUGUAUAGAUGAAGAUACCUGCAGAGGAUGUUGAGAGUGCAACAGGAAGGGAUGCACCUAAUUCAACUUGGAAGGUGGAGGCAAGGAGAGCUUUCUAGAGGUGAUGCCUGAGCAGAGUCUUGGAGGAUAAGUAAGAGUUUCUUAAGCCCACAGGGGAGGUGGGGGUGAAGGUGGGGACAGAACAAUCAGAAUUCUGUUGCUGAUUGGCUGACUCUAAACAUGUCAGUAAUGUGCCUUUAAACUCAGUUUUAGUUUUCUGCGAUGGAUAAUUCCUUUUUCCCUGAGUGUUAUGAGGUUGGCUUAAUUAAUGUUUGCAAAGCUUUCAGUAAUCUUCAGAUAAAAGGUGAGGUAGAGGGGAAGUAUAUUACUUAUUAUCAUAGCUUUACCAGCAUCUGAUCACAUAAGGAAAAUUCCCUGAAAGGUCAUUUCUAAGAAGCAAUAUUAUUAGUCUGGUGGUUCUUAAGCCUUAUGUAACUUCCUGGAACAAUGCAAUAGCAAGGGAGAAAAAUGACAUCAACAUGGAGAUAAUAAUGAAUUUAAAUCAUAAGCCUUAUUUCCUUACUGCAGCUGCUGAGUAUGAGACAAGCUUGAAGCUUCUAAACUUAACUCAGCCACUGCCUGGAAGCAUCUAAUUAAAAGUUUUCAAAUAAAAUAAGUAAGUUUUUGUAGAUAAAAGAGCAGAUGGCUUAAGAAGAGAACUGAAAGACUGCAUUAGGAAAGUAUUAGGUUUUAAUUCCAUUUGGGAAAAAAAAAAUUCCAUGUAAGAGAGGGCAGGGAUUGGAAGUAAAAAAACCUAGGGGUCUGUAGAGACAGGAUUAGGGCCUGUGCUAUCAUAAAUGUAGCUGUGAAAUUUUAGUUUGUAGGAUAACUAAAUUUUUCUGUUGCUCAGGAUUAUUCCUAUGACCUACAGAAGAUAUUCUCUGUCUUCUGCAAACCAGUGUCCUUCCAUUCCCCAGAGUGGUUUCUGUUCAUUCUUCCUUUCUUUCAUUUGACCCGUAGGUAUUAAGCUCCUACUAGGUACUGGUACUUCUUUAGAUGCUAAGGAUUCAGGAUGGGGAAAAAUCAGACAAAGUUUGUGGCGUCUCAUGGAGCCAACUUAAUGGGGAACUCAUUCAUUAGUGAAUUGGCUAAUGAAAUAUAGCUCGUGAAAAUAUUUAAAUAUUUUUAAAUGUCAUGUAAACAUUUGCUGUUAUUUCAUCAUGAUAGUGCCGUAUUUGUAUUUUAUUAAUUUAAUAAAAUACUUGGACAGAUGUCAUAAUGAAUCCUCAUAACAAGCCUUUGAGGUAAUGUUGGUAACUUUUAGCCAAGAGGAAAGAGAAAUUCAAAGAAUGAGGGUUCUUGCCCCAGAUCACAAAGCUGUUUCAUGGUAGAGCUGAGACUGAAACCUAGCUCCUCUGGUGCUAGUUCACCUGUUGCUUUUGCUGCUACAGAUUGAGCCUUUGGGGCAAUCAUUGAAAUUUUGGUUAUCUAUCAUUUGUAAAUCUCUAAGCCAAGGAGAAUGCUUGUAUGAGUAACUCCAGAGAAAGCAGACAUCACUGAUGUUAAUGUUGAGAGGAAGGGGUGGCCUGUCACAAAGAAUAUCACAUAAACAGAACCAUAAUGUGAGCAAAAUCAACUGAGGAAUAGCAUCACAAUGCCAAGCUCCAUAUCUGGACAGGUCUGAGUAGCUGAGAGGUUUCAUGUCCUUCCUUGGUUGUUUUCCUUUGGACAUCUCCUUAUGUCUACUCAGCUUCAUUUCAGGCGACCAAGCCUUCAAGGUGCAUGGAAGAGUUCCGCUUGGCCUCAAAGCUUUGUGGAAAAUGGAAGUUUAAACCCUGUAGGUUUUCUUGGCCUUCAAAAGCCAAGGUGAUGUCAGGGCAAAGGGUUCCACUUGGAUGCAGAUCAAGUCACUGGUUAUUUCUGGAACUUUCUUGCAGUUUGGUUCCACAGGAUAGUCUAAGUACCAGUGUGAUUUGGGAUACAAGCAAUAUUCUUGUAUUCUUUCCUUCCCCCAUAUCGCAUGUUUGUACAGAUUUCAGAGAUCCAUAUAUUAAAUUUGGGACACUCCAGGGAAGACCCCUAUGUCCUCUGUGCAAGACACAUAGCAACUAGUGAGGCCAUCUAUGUUUUCCAGACACCCCUGCAUGUCCAAAACAAUGUCCUCUUCAAAGUCACCUCAAAUGGGGCUUCCAUCUCUCGCCUUCCACCCAUUUUCCUUUAAACUCCAAAGCAGUUGUAGUUCUCUGCUGGUAUGUGUCUCUUUCUUCUAUUUUUGUGUUCCUACUGUGGUCCCUCCGUUCCACAAUCCUCACCCUACAUGGCAGCCAGUACUAUCUUUAAAUAUGUGUAUGCAAUAGAUAUUUAUAUGUGAUACCAUUAUAUAAAGUUUUCACUAAAUGUCAUAAAUUUAUAUAAAACCAUGUUCCCGCUCUACUUCUAAACCUUCUGUGGCUUCCCUUUGUACACAGCACAAAACUGUCACAUUCCACCAUGGCCUGGGCAACCUGCCUACCUCCCUCCCUCUCCACUCAGCCCCCAAUUCCAUUGCCUGUCAGUUCCUCACACUUGCCAUGCUCUCUCCUCCUUCAAGCCCUCACUCCUGAUCUUCCCUCCACCAGGACUGUUCUUCCCCAUGUGUUUUGAAAGGCUGGCCUUUCACAUCCUAAAAACAAGAAAACCCCACUCUCACUCAGAGCUUCAUUCUCUAGCUCCACUCUCCAUUGUCUACCCUCCUUAAUCUUAAUUUGUCUGCCUCCUCCACCAGAAUGUAAGUGUUGCAAGGAGAGGAACCACAUUUGACAUAUCCUUGGAGCUUCAGCCUGCCUGGCAGAGAGCUGUGCAGUAAUUGAAUGAAUGGUGGAUGUGCCUUGUUACCCAUCCAGCCUAAAAUGCAGCUCACUGCACAUACAAACAACAGUCACUGAAUGUUGACUAUGCAUCAGGCAUUCUUUUAAGUACACGACAUGAAUUCACUCAUUUAAUUCUCAUGGAAACCAUGUGAUGCUGGUACUAUUAUUAUCAGCCCCAUUUUUCAGAUAAGAAAACUGAUAAGUUAAAGGGUUUUAAAUAUCUAACAGAAAAAUAAUUUGCUUAAGACUUUGCAGCCAGAAAAUGACAGAGCUAGGAUUCAAACCCAGGCAUCCCAGAGGCUACCUUUUAACUUUCCUGUCUUCCUGCAGAAAAGAUUCACAUAUACUUUUCAGUUAAUCGAAAGAAACUUGGAAUACACACUGCAGCAUGGGGAAAAUGAAGAAACCUCACAUCUGCCGUAGUGUAUUCUUUCCCAGGCUGAGGAAGCUAGCAUGCAGUAUCAUUAUUUCUUUAGUGUGUCCAUAUGAAAGGAAAACCAGAGUAAUCUCUGCAGAUGCUGGGAUUGAAAGAAUCAUUGUCCCCUCAUCAGAAAGGAUAAUUAAGAGCCCCUCUGCCCAUUAAAUGAGGCAAUGAAUGGUAACCCACUUUGUAGGGUAUAAAAUGCCCUAUAAAUGUUAGUUAUUCUUAUUCCCAAGCUCUAUGGAACAGCGGCUUAUGUUACAAAACUACUGAUUCAGAAUCUUUCAGAAGUACUAAAUCUACUCAGUAGUCAAGAGAAGGAAAUGCCUCUGGUUUGUUCCUUCCCAUCAUCCUGAAAAUUAAACAGCAAUCCAUUCUUCUCCUGCAUUUCCAAAAUCCAGGGUCAGAGAUAUGCAAAUGUAAGUAUGCAGGCUGCUUUUAAAUGAUACAUGAAAGGGAUUUUUGAAAUGAAUGUGCUGUGAUUGAAUUUCUGGUCAGUCACCCAGAAGGCAUUUUGCAGCUAAGCUCUGGACCCAAUUCCACUGAAAAUGCAUAAGCUUUGGUGCCUGCAGCCAGUCUAGCCACAGACGAGGAUCAGGGUCCUUGCCUUGGAACUGCUAUUAAAUGAUGCAGACCCCCAGGCUCGAAGUUGAAAAACAAAUUAGCACAAGCCUAAAAGAAAUCCAAUACAAAGUUUACUUUUAAAAUACCUUUUCCAUAACCUUACCUGACAACAAAACCUCUUUGAUUUUAAACCAUUUGAUGAAACCACAGUGCAUUAAUAUAUAACUUGGCUUUUUCAGUAGAGCUUAUCUUUGUCAUUUUCAAAAUAAUUUGGAUGCUCUUUGGGAAUACAAAUAUUGCCAAUUGGUGUUGUCCAAAGAAAGGUCUCUUUGACCUGCUUUAAUAAUAGAUAAGAAACAUGAGUAAAAAUGAUCAUUUAUUAUAUAUGACUUAUGCUAAGGUGAUUUUUAAGAGUAACUGACAGGAGUUGGCUUUCUUAAGUAGGUUGGAGAGCUCCGCUGAUAACCUUGUUUAUUAUUAAAUGAGUUUGCUAAGCAACCCUUUUACUUGAAGGUGAUCAAAGGUAAACCUCAGCUUUAUCUGACUUGCCAUGAAAUUCCAAAGUAGUAGAAUUUUACAUUGUAUUUCUUCCCUUUUAGUGCUUUCUAAAAUUAUGUCAGUAAUGCAUGUAUGAAUGCAUGUAUAACAAAAAUAGAGACACAACAGGUGAAGCUAAUCUUAUCCCCACCCUCCAUCCCUCUCCUCUCCACUUCUCAGAGGUAACCCCUUCAUCACUAUGGCACAUCUCCUGCCAAACCUUUCUCUAAACAUUUGUCUCCAUGUGUGUAUUGUUAAGUUAUUUAAAAAUUUAUGUUUAUAUAAACGGUGUAUUGUUGUCAAUUGCUGCCAUGAACAGUGACUUGAAAUAACAAAUAUUUACUAUCUCUCACACUUUCUGAGAGUGAGCAAUCCAAGGGCACUAAGCUCUGGGGGGUUCUAGUUCAUGAUCUCUCCUGAAGUUGUAGUCAGGGUCUAAGCCAGGACUACAGUCAUUUGGAAGCUUGACUGGGACUGGAGGAAGUGCUUCCAUCAUGGCUCACCAACACAGCUGUUGCCUGGAGUCUUCUGUCCAUCACUGGCUAUUGACAGGAGGCUGCCACAUGGGCUUCUCCACAGGGUUCCUGGAGUGUCCUUAAAACACAGUAGUUGGCAUCCUCUAGAGUGAGUGAUGGGAGAGUAAAAGAAUGAAAGAGAGAGAUCAAGAAGGAAGCCACAAUACCUUUUUAUUACCUAGUCUUGGAAGUGGCACCUUGUCAUUUAUGCCAUAUUCUGUCCACUAGAAAUGAAUUACUAAGUCUGGCCCAAACUCAAGUGGAGGCGAAUUAAGCUGCAUCUCAUAAGGGAAAGAGUAUCGAAGAACUUCUGUAUGUAUUUUAAAACCACUACAUAUGGCAUAGUGCACAUAUGCUUCUGCAAAUUUGCUUUUUUCGCUUAACAAUCUUAGUUUUCCAUGACAAUACAUGGGGGUCAACUUCAUUCUCUUUAGUUGCUGCAUGCUAUUCCACUACCUAUUUAAUCAUUCUCCUCCUGAUGAGUACACCUCGAGAUCGCUCCCAGACUUUCACUUCUGCAGAUGACACAGCAAUGGGGGUACUUGCUUACUCCUCAGCACAUGUGCCAGGAUUUCUCUAGUAAAAAUGCAUUGAUGCAGAAUUGCUGAGUUGAAGGGUCUGCUUAUUAUAACAGUUAUGGCUAAAUUGCCCUCCAGAACGGCUGUUGUAAUUUCCAAUCAUCCUUCAUCUGACACGUGGCGGGGGCUUGUGGCAGAACUUUGGUGGGCAAAAUAUCUUGGGGACUUUCAGAUUAUUUUUGGCCCUUUUCAAGCCUGGAUUUAUGAUGAGAAAUUAUCCUGUCUGACACCCACUUUGCUCAUAAUUGCAACCUCUUUCCUACAAUUCUGCUUGAUUUAAGCAAAAAUCCAGAAGCUCAUCCCUCAGGAGACAGGGAAGCUUAACUGCUGUUUACAAAGGACUUGGAGGUUUUCAGGUACAAGUUGCCCCUGGAGAUUCAGGUUGAUUAGUGUUAAUUCAAAACCACUUCCUCUAUUAUGGUAGCAGCUGAGAAGUCACAUGCACAAAUCAAGCAUGUGGAUUUCAAUGAAAAGGAAAAUGCCAUUUCAGUAGCAGCUAUUCCCGGACUCUGGCUGAGCCUUCCUAUGGCAAGUAUUAUUGAUGCAUAAAAUCAUCGAAUCCUCUGGGUCCUCCCACUUCUCACUUAUCUUUAGUUUAAAACCGAGCAUCAGACCGAAUUCCUUACAUUCAAGCUGCCAAGUGUCCUUGGCUGGCAAGAAUCUCCCUCCCUGUAAUAUCAAUAAUUAAUGUCAGCUACCAGUCCUGAGACAGCUGACAAAAGGAACUGGCCUAGUUCAUUUCUACUUAUUUACUGUGUCCAUCUUUGGUGAAAAUGUUUGGUCAGAUUCAAAAUGGUGUGUCACCAAGGCAACCAGCACUUAUUUAUUCAAUACAAACUUAUUGAGGUCCUGCUCUGUGUAAGGUUCUAUACUGUCUAUUCUCUGUGUGUGGGAGAGUAUUCACAUUAUACCCUCACAAAUUUGAAGUCUGAUGAUAAUUAUUACCAAGUAUUUUGCACUUCUUGUGUACCAGACACUGUGCUAAGCAUUUCAUGGACAAUAACUUUUCCUUCUCAUAGCAGCCCUGUUAAGUAGGUAGCAUUCCCUUUUUACCCACAUGUGUCAUGAUAAAUACAAAACCCUAGUUCUGUCAUGGAGCAGCUGCUCAUCUUAUCCAGGUUCUGAACCCAGCUAAGCCCCAGUGCUUGAGAAGGUUGUACUAGUUCUGCUUUUGCCAAAAUGUGUUUCUUUCCACAAGAAGCUCCAUGAAAAAUUUGAAGUCAUAGCCACAGCAUCUAUGCUUCUCAGAGAUCCCUGAGGCCCACAGUGGCUUCUCCUGUGGAUCUCAGCUCAGAGAAGUUUCACCUGUGUUCCCCGAAGUGAUCAGAUCCCCAGAUAAUACACUUUCAUACCUCCAUGUGUCUUUCCUUCAGAGUUUUUAGCACAGUGAAAGUCUGUUGGUGAGAUUAUUUACUAUGGCUCUGCCAGGCUGCUGGAAGCUCCAUGAGGCUGCAGGCAAUGCUUUUUUUCUGCUCAUUUUUGUUUUCCCAGAGCCUGGCACAGUGCCUGCCACAGAUAAUCAAUACUAUUUAAUCCAUUAACUGAUUGCUCUGAAAAGAACUACACACACACACCCCAAAAACCUGGGGACUUAACUUAUCUCACACAUUGCAAACCUCAUUCAGCAAACUUUUACUGAUCUUAUUUCAAGAUCCAGGCACUGAAUUAGGUACUAAAGAUAUUGCAAUAAACUAAGCAGACAUGGCACUUAUUCUCUUAGGUCUUGCAUUUCAGUGGGGAAUCCGGAUGAUAAAUGAGUCAAAUAAAAUGAAUAAGAUAAUUUCAGAUAUGUGUUAAGUUCUGAGAAAUAAAAUGAGCAGCACUGAUAGGAUGAGGGGUGGUCAGGGAAGAUGUCUCCAAAGAGAAGACAUUCGAUGGAGACCUGAAUCAUGAUAA
Long non-coding RNA from Homo sapiens (human), 16707 nucleotides. RefSeq lists it as uncharacterized. The transcript is spliced from 2 exons. The record is from RefSeq and is a predicted model, not a curated record. Lineage: Eukaryota; Metazoa; Chordata; Mammalia; Primates; Hominidae.